Molecule: long non-coding RNA, 1292 nt
Organism: Stylophora pistillata
Lineage: Eukaryota; Metazoa; Cnidaria; Anthozoa; Scleractinia; Pocilloporidae
Source: RefSeq, a predicted model, not a curated record
GUCACUGAAAAACAAACACUGAUCCGGUAAGGCCAGAUCGGAGUUAUCAACGGGUCAAUCAAGUAAAUUUUACCUUAAAAAACCCAAGCGACUCUGUGUUGGCUAAAUCAAUAAAUUGCGCUCCACAAUCUAAACUGAGUAAACGUUUACAACAACACCUGAGAUGAACCGACAGCUACUCUCUAUUUUAGCAAUAAUAACUUUCCUCACGAUAGCUGACCUUAGCAGCAGAACUGGUUGUGAAGCGAAUCAACGACGUAGAAGGUUCACGUGGCACCGAAGGCGUUUGAUCACACAUCGACCGACGAAGUCUGCAUGGAAUAAAAAUGGCCAGGUGAACAUGAAUUCACAAAAGCCAGCACAAAAUGAUGAUGACACAAUAGAAACACAAGAUUUUGAUAAUGAAGAACAGGUUGGAAAAUUCUACGAGGAAAUGUUCGGAAGUGGUGAUAUGCGUUACCCACAUGAACCUUGAUUUUUACGAAGACUAGAGAUGUUAAAUGGAGUCGAUAAAAAUAUAGUUUUGUAAAUGUUUUAAAUUCAUUAUAUUAAUUUAUAGAAAGGAAAUUGUAUUAUUUAACUGAUUUAUUAAAGAGGAUUAUUGGUGCGUCUUGAAACAUUACACGAAUCAUCACCUGCAAUCUUCGUAGGUCUCCGUUGUCUCUAAAGUAUUAUUGUCACAUCCCAUUCUUGGAAAAUUCAGUGAUUUACGAGAGUGAUUGCUUUUUUUUCUCAAGAAAACUAUGAGACUACAACCGAAAAUAGUACACGUACAGACUUUUCCAUAUAUAACUCACUGAAAAACCAGCAUACAUUCAGUUACGUAUUUUUUACACUGAUGAGACUGAAAGUUACAAACCUUUUCUGGGUGAUCCUACAAAAUACAGAUUGACUGAAUAAACUAAUCAACAGAUCAGUUAUUAGCAGCUAUUACGCAAUGCACAUUGGAAAAUUUCUACCAUGCAAAAUGUUUAAUCAGUCAUUUAAGUCUCUCAUAAAAAAAGUGUAUUUCUGGAAAGAAAAUGUUUUAAACUAUUACGAUAGUUUUACUUCAUGCAACUUUUAAAAGUAUAUAAGUGUACAACUGUAAUAUAAUGAAGACAGAAGACGUGAAACAGUGCUGAAUUUGGCAUGGUUCUGUGCUUCUCCAUCUCUAAGACAUUAAAACUGAAUAUCAAACGGAAAGGAAGAUGAUUGAAAGGUAAGCAGUUGAAUAAAAACGCCAGUAACAGUUUGAACAGAAUUUAAACUCACUUUUGUAGAUUCAAAAUAAUUAGAAAAUAAAAAGAAAA